RNAcentral lists this ribosomal RNA (406 nucleotides) under uncultured bacterium. Its description in RNAcentral is "partial 16S ribosomal RNA". It matches the Rfam family "Bacterial small subunit ribosomal RNA", at positions 30 to 526 of the family's 1533-position model. The record is from RNAcentral.
AUUGAACGCUGGCGGCAGGCCUAACACAUGCAAGUCGAACGAGUGGCGGACGGGUGAGUAAUGUCUGGGAAACUGCCUGAUGGAGGGGGAUAACUACUGGAAAAGGUAGCUAAUACCGCAUACCAUCGGAUGUGCCCAGAUGGGAGUAGCUAGUAGGUGGGGUAAAGGCGCACCUAGGCGACGAUCACUAGCUGGUCGGAGAGGAUAACCAGCCAAAGUGGAACUGAGACAAGGUCCAGACUCCUACGGGAGGCAGCAUUGGGGAAUAUUGCGAAAUUGGCUCAAGCCUGAUGCAGCCAUGCCGCGUGUAUGAAGAAGGCCUUCGGGUUGUAAAGUACUUUCAGCGGGGAGGCGUUACCCGCAGAAGAAGCACCGGCUAACUCCGUGCCAGCAGCCGCGGUAAUAC